AGGGCAGAGCUCUGGCCUUCUCGAUGGCCCACCUCCGCCUCUCCCGGCUAUUGCAAGGUGUCUGUGAUCACUGCCUCCUUCAUCCCCUCCUUCUUGCCCAGCUUCAGCCCUGGAGCCAUUAGCAGUGUGACUCUGUCUGGAUCCUGGGUAAACCGUGCAGUCUCUUCGGGCCUAAGUUUCUCUGCUGAAAUGGAGAUAAGAAUUCUCCCCUGAUCUCCUCCUGAGCUUGUUAAAGGAUCUGAUGGACCCGAGGACGAUUCUGGCAAGUGGUGCAAAGAAUACAGAUAUCAGACAGUGGGUAUAUUAACGACUGUUACCAUUACUACCACGCUGCUGCUGUCUAAACCCUUCCUGACUUGAGAUCUCGGCUAACUCUCCCCUCCCUUGGACCGGUGACUCUGCACAUCCGCGGAAGGGAGGCUUGGGAACUUGUUUUAAAGAUUUCCUCCCAGCCCUGCAGGGCGGGGCAGAUCCUGGAGGAAGCUCAGCUGCCCCGCCUCCUCCCUGCACGGGCAGCUGGCUCCUCCCCCUCCCAGAACCCAGCAACGGGAGGAGGAGCAAAGCGGGGAGGGCCGCUAUAAGAGCAUUAAUGGCCGGGCAGGUUGGAGGGAGACCGCAGACAGAUGCUGGUUGUGCUUGUGUUUUCCAACGUUAGGGCCUCAGAACCAGAAAAAAACAACAACAACAACAAAAAAAAAACUGGGAGCUUUAAAACCAGGAGGCUAAUUGUUCGGAUGGGAAGAUGUUAUUUACAGUAAUGGGGUAAUGAGGAAGGAGGCGCAGAAUGAGAAGGGUGGUUUUGGCUGGAGCAGCCCAGUCCAUCCGGGGGGUUUCUGGGGGCAGCCAGGGGGCCAUCCUCUUGAGUCGGGCCGUCUACCUGCGUUUACCCUGUAUCUCACAAGUCACCCUCCUUUGGGGAAGGCCCACAUGAAACAGAAGCAGACAUCUCCUCGCCCAGGGUUUCUGGAGUGGGAGCCAGAUCACCUCCCCAGCCAGCAUGAAACACGUGGCCCUGGCCCAGGGAGCCUUCUAUUCUUUAAGGCCCAAUCAGUCACCCCCUCUCAGGAAGCCCUCCUGACUUCUGCAACUCACAGGUGGUCUCUUCAGACCCCCUGGAUCUCUGAGUCUGAACUGCAGAGACCCUUGACCACACAGCUUGCUGGGCUCGAGUUGGGAAAGGAGGAUGAAUUACACUGGGGGGCUUUAGGAUAAGUGGAUGGAGUUGGGGAGGAGGAGAGGGGUUAAAUUCUUCAGCAGCUCAGCUGAAGGAAGAAAUUGGAAAAUCCAGGUAACAAGGGCUCUGUGGGGCCCCAAGCCUCUGGCCCCUCAUUCAUCUGCCUGCUCA
Molecule: long non-coding RNA, 1345 nt
Organism: Bubalus bubalis (water buffalo)
Lineage: Eukaryota; Metazoa; Chordata; Mammalia; Artiodactyla; Bovidae
Exons: 2
Source: RefSeq, a predicted model, not a curated record